GGGCAUGUAGCGUAGGGGUUAUCGCGUUCGCUUUGCAUUCGAGACAAUAAGCGAUGAUGCUUUGCGAAAGGUCUCCGGUUCAAAUCCGGACUUGUCCA
Non-coding RNA from Lentinula raphanica, 98 nucleotides. Lineage: Eukaryota; Fungi; Basidiomycota; Agaricomycetes; Agaricales; Omphalotaceae. The record is from the annotation of a GenBank genome assembly.